UUUGUCUUUUUUCUGUUCCUUAGGGUGUUUGUAUUAACUUUAACAGAGGCGUCGAUUUUAUUUUUUAGAAAAAUGUGAUCACUGUGAUGAUUAUCUUGUAAAACCCUCGUGUGGGCAUGUAUCGUCUCAUAAAAGACCUUAUCGAAACAAUGUGUAAUGGUUAGACCUUACGAAUCGAAUGGGAAUAAAUAAAAAUAUAUAUUUACAAAAGCUUAA
Long non-coding RNA from Xenia sp. Carnegie-2017, 216 nucleotides. RefSeq lists it as uncharacterized. The record is from RefSeq and is a predicted model, not a curated record. The transcript is spliced from 2 exons. Lineage: Eukaryota; Metazoa; Cnidaria; Anthozoa; Malacalcyonacea; Xeniidae.